This 766-nucleotide ribosomal RNA is filed under the name uncultured bacterium. RNAcentral describes it as "bacterial SSU rRNA". It matches the Rfam family "Bacterial small subunit ribosomal RNA", at positions 8 to 796 of the family's 1533-position model. The record is from RNAcentral.
AGAGUUUGAUCAUGGCUCAGGAUAAACGCUGGCGGCGUGCCUAACACAUGCAAGUCGAACGCCCUUUUCUUUCGGGAAGAGGGAGUGGCGGACGGGUGAGUAACACGUAGGUGACCUACCUUGAGGUGGGGAAUACCAACGAGAAAUCGUUGACAAUUCCGCAUAAGUUCUCUUCGGAGAGCAAAGCUUCGGUUCGUCCGAGGCGCCACAAGAUGGGCCUGCGUCUGAUUAGCUAGUUGGUGGGGUAAUGGCCUACCAAGGCGAUGAUCAGUAGCUGAUCUGAGAGGAUGAUCAGCCACACUGGGAUUGAGAACGGCCCAGACUCCUACGGGAGGCAGCAGUGAGGAAUUUUCCGCAAUGGGGGAAACCCUGACGGAGCAACGCCGCGUGCAGGAGGAAGGUCUACGGAUCGUAAACUGCUUUUACCGGGGAAGAGAACGGACGGUACCCGGUGAAUAAGCCCCGGCUAACUACGUGCCAGCAGCCGCGGUAAUACGUAGGGGGCGAGCGUUAUCCGGAAUUAUUGGGCGUAAAGGGCACGCAGGCGGUCCUGCACGUGGUGGGUGACAGCUUCUAGCUUAACUAGGAGAGUGCCUUCCAAACGACAGGACUUGAGAGCGAGAGAGGGAUACGGAACUCCAGGUGAAGCAGUGAAAUGCGUAGAUAUCUGGAAGAACACCAAAGGCGAAGGCAGUAUCCUGGCUCGUCUCUGACGCUCAGGUGCGAAAGCUAGGGGAGCAAACAGGAUUAGAUACCCUAGUAGUCC